CCUACGGGAGGCAGCAGUGGGAAAUUUUGCACAAUGGGGGAAACCCUGAUGCAGCGACGCCGCGUGAGUGACGAAGUAUUUCGGUACGUAAAGUUCUAUCAGCAGGGAAGAAAAUGACGGUACCUGACUAAGAAGCCACGGCUAACUAUGUGCUAGCCACCGCGGUAAUACGUGGGGGGCACGCGUUAUCCGGAUCUACGGGGUUUAAAGGGUGCGCAGGCGGAUUUUUAAGUCAGCGGUAAAGACGUGGGGUUCAACCCCAUCCAGCCGGUGAAACUGGGCAUCUAGAGUGUGCGAGAGGUAUGCGGAAUGCGUGGUGUAGCGGUGAAAUGCAUAGAUAUCACGCAGAACCCCGAUAGCGAAGGCAGCAUACCGGUGGACAACUGACGCUCAGGCACGAAAGCGUGGGUAUCGAACAGGAUUAGAUACCCGUGUAGUC
RNAcentral lists this ribosomal RNA (439 nucleotides) under uncultured bacterium. RNAcentral describes it as "partial 16S ribosomal RNA". It matches the Rfam family "Bacterial small subunit ribosomal RNA", at positions 338 to 795 of the family's 1533-position model. The record is from RNAcentral.